RNAcentral lists this transfer RNA (73 nucleotides) under bacterium. Its description in RNAcentral is "tRNA-Thr". It matches the Rfam family "tRNA". From Rfam's summary of the family: Transfer RNA (tRNA) molecules are approximately 80 nucleotides in length. Their secondary structure includes four short double-helical elements and three loops (D, anti-codon, and T loops). The record is from RNAcentral.
GCUGGCGUGGCACAGUAGGUAGCGCACAUCAUUGGUAGUGAUGAGGUCACGGGUUCGAUUCCCGUCGCUAGCU